This is a long non-coding RNA of Drosophila miranda, 785 nucleotides long. RefSeq lists it as uncharacterized. The record is from RefSeq and is a predicted model, not a curated record. Lineage: Eukaryota; Metazoa; Arthropoda; Insecta; Diptera; Drosophilidae. The transcript is spliced from 3 exons.
GAACAAAAAAGGUCAACAAAAAUAGUGGCAACGUACCAGGUCGCACCAUCGGGUUGCUAGGAGUAACACUUGCGUGCCCGCGGUCACCGAUUCGCUUGUUUACCAGGAGCAUGAUUCGGGACAUGAUUCUUGUCGCGCGAGGCUGUGGCCUUUUGUCCGACAAUUUGGUCCGGCCACUGCCAUGGCCCUCUUCCUUGCCUUCCACGCUGUUUUCUUCGUCUUUCCAGUUCGCUCACUGUCGGCACCUCCUCCACGGGUGAUUCCGUCGUAAAACCUCGUCCUCUGUGACAGCCACUGGCUGGCCUGUCGUGAUGAUGCUGCUGUGUAGCUGGCCUGACAAUGUGGCGCCCGGUCCGCUGCAGCAGUGACCAGUGAUCGACGGCGGAGUUGUUGGUUUACGCCAACGGGAAAUAAUGUCAGCAACACCCCAUUCAUAAGCCGCCGAAUCAAACGCUGGGCUUCAGCUUCACGACGCAGGACUUACAUAUGUACCCUACGCUUUGCCAUACCAUGUCGUAUCUGAUUUGCCCCAGCCAGACGGUCCCAUCCAAGCAUGAGCGAAGCGUUUUCGAGUCAUACCGAGUCUUAUCCCAGCCAGACAGAAUCGUAUCUCAGUAGCACAGAAGCGCACCCAUUGCAAGAUUCACACCUAACCAGCUAUCGUCAUCGUUCAACCUGGCCAUCGACAACAAGGACUUUGACUAUGGCAACCAAGGGAGGGGCUACGCGGUCUACUAGAUGCUAGAUACACGCAUCCAUUCAUUUAGAUAGUAACUAAAAAUGUU